CCUACGGGAGGCAGCAGUGAGGAAUAUUGGUCAAUGGCCGUAGGGCUGAACCAGCCAAGUAGCGUGAGGGAUGACGGUCCUAUGGGUUGUAAACCUCUUUUGUCAGGGAGCAAAGGGCGCCACGUGUGGCGCUUUGCGAGUACCUGAAGAAAAAGCAUCGGCUAACUCCGUGCCAGCAGCCGCGGUAAUACGGAGGAUGCGAGCGUUAUCCGGAUUUAUUGGGUUUAAAGGGUGCGCAGGCGGAAUGUCAAGUCAGCGGUAAAAUUUCGGGGCUCAACCCCGUCGUGCCGUUGAAACUGGCGUUCUUGAGUGAGCGAGAAGUAUGUGGAAUGCGUGGUGUAGCGGUGAAAUGCAUAGAUAUCACGCAGAACUCCGAUUGCGAAGGCAGCAUACCGGAGCUCAACUGACGCUCAUGCACGAAAGCGUGGGUAUCGAACAGGAUUAGAUACCCUUGUAGUC
Molecule: ribosomal RNA, 459 nt
Filed under: uncultured bacterium
Lineage: Bacteria
Description: partial 16S ribosomal RNA
Rfam family: Bacterial small subunit ribosomal RNA
Source: RNAcentral